RNAcentral lists this ribosomal RNA (462 nucleotides) under uncultured bacterium. RNAcentral describes it as "partial 16S ribosomal RNA". It matches the Rfam family "Bacterial small subunit ribosomal RNA", at positions 28 to 507 of the family's 1533-position model. The record is from RNAcentral.
GACGAACGCUGGCGGCGUGCUUAACACAUGCAAGUCGAGCGGUAAGGCCUUUCGGGGUAUACGAGCGGCGAACGGGUGAGUAACACGUGGGUGAUCUGCCCUGCACUUCGGGAUAAGCCUGGGAAACUGGGUCUAAUACCGGAUAUGACCUCCUAUCGCAUGGUGGGUGGUGGAAAGAUUUAUCGGUGCAGGAUGGGCCCGCGGCCUAUCAGCUUGUUGGUGGGGUAAUGGCCUACCAAGGCGACGACGGGUAGCCGACCUGAGAGGGUGACCGGCCACACUGGGACUGAGACACGGCCCAGACUCCUACGGGAGGCAGCAGUGGGGAAUAUUGCACAAUGGGCGAAAGCCUGAUGCAGCGACGCCGCGUGAGGGAUGACGGCCUUCGGGUUGUAAACCUCUUUCAGCAGGGACGAAGCGCAAGUGACGGUACCUGCAGAAGAAGCACCGGCUAACUACGUG